AAUUAAUUGGAAACGGAGGGGAUAGAGAUGGGAACGCGCAGGAUAGAUAGUUGUGAGGUACGCUCAUCAGUCGAUGAUCUUUAGGGGGCUGAGAGGGUGAUCCCCCCACACUGGUACUGAGACACGGACCCAGACUCUACGGGAGGCAGCAGUGAGGAAUAUGGACAAUGGGUUAGCGCUGAUCCAGCCAUCCCGCGUGAAGGACGACGGCCCUAUGGGUUGUAAACUUCUUUGUACAGGGAUAAACCUAUCUACGUGUAGAUAGCUGAAGGUACUGUACGAAUAAGCACCGGCUAACUCCGUGCCAGCAGCCGCGGUAAUACGGAGGGUGCAAGCGUUAUCCGGAUUUAUUGGGUUUAAAGGGUCCGUAGGCGGAUCCGUAAGUCAGUGGUGAAAUCUCACAGCUUAACUGUGAAACUGCCAUUGAUACUGCGGGUCUUGAGUAAGGUAGAAGUGGCUGGAAUAAGUAGUGUAGCGGUGAAAUGCAUAGAUAUUACUUAGAACACCAAUUGCGAAGGCAGGUCACUAUGUCUUAACUGACGCUGAUGGACGAAAGCGUGGGGAGCGAACAGGAUUAGAUACCCUGGUAGUCCACGCCGUAAACGAUGCUAACUCGUUUUUGGGCUUUCGGGUUCAGAGACUAAGCGAAAGUGAUAAGUUAGCCACCUGGGGAGUACGUUCGCAAGAAUGAAACUCAAAGGAAUUGACGGGGGCCCGCACAAGCGGUGGAUUAUGUGGUUUAAUUCGAUGAUACGCGAGGAACCUUACCAAGGCUUAAAUGGGAAUUGACAGACGCAGAAAUGUGUUUUUCUUCGGACAAUUUUCAAGGUGCUGCAUGGUUGUCGUCAGCUCGUGCCGUGAGGUGUUAGGUUAAGUCCUGCAACGAGCGCAACCCCUGUUACUAGUUGCUACCAUUAAGUUGAGGACUCUAGUAAGACUGCCUACGCAAGUAGAGAGGAAGGUGGGGAUGACGUCAAAUCAUCACGGCCCUUACGCCUUGGGCCACACACGUAAUACAAUGGCCGGUACAGAGGGCAGCUACACAGCGAUGUGAUGCGAAUCUCGAAAGCCGGUCUCAGUUCGGAUUGGAGUCUGCAACUCCGACUCCUAUGAAGCUGGAAUCGCUUAUUA
RNAcentral lists this ribosomal RNA (1131 nucleotides) under Chryseobacterium taichungense. RNAcentral's name for it is "bacterial SSU rRNA". It matches the Rfam family "Bacterial small subunit ribosomal RNA", at positions 193 to 1341 of the family's 1533-position model. The record is from RNAcentral. Lineage: Bacteria; Pseudomonadati; Bacteroidota; Flavobacteriia; Flavobacteriales; Weeksellaceae.